RNAcentral lists this long non-coding RNA (1537 nucleotides) under Homo sapiens (human). RNAcentral's name for it is "HSALNT0359528". The record is from RNAcentral. Lineage: Eukaryota; Metazoa; Chordata; Mammalia; Primates; Hominidae.
AAUAUUUAUUAACAUCCUAAGCCGCCCCAUAAUCAAGCCAAUGCUGAUAGGGACAAAGAAGGUGCCAUGUGCAGUUUUUCUCCAUGUCCCCACAAUAUCUGCUCUGAAUUUUAAAAGGCAAUUACUGGGGGAGAAGGAAGCCUAUAUAUUAUGUAGGAUCCAAGUCUCAAACUGCUUUCCUAGGGAGUGUGAGGUUCUUGGAGAUUAAGUGCAGUACCUUUCUGUCUUGAGCCUUGUAGGCUGCCCCUCUAAUUUAAUGCCAGUCUUGAAAUAAACAGAAUGCUUUCCAAGUCAUCGCUAAUUUUAACACUUUAAAUUUAGAAUUGCUUAGAAUUGACUCAACACUGCCUCCUUGCUGAAUGGAUAAUUCAAGCAAACAACUCAAGAGCUGGAUGCUGCCCAGACAGGUAGGCAGCCAGAUAAAGUGAGUGUCCAGGGAAAGAGCAGUAAGGGUCAGAAGAGAAAGAGCCUGGUGUUCUCACUGCCUCCUGCCUUCCUUAUGACUGUCUGUUCAGAAGUCCUCCUAGCAUCUUUCUUCUGCCUUCCCCUGCUCCUGUCCCUGAAACCUUUUCUUCAAAAGAAGUGGAAAAGAGGAACUGGGAACCCAUAUAGCAACAGCAUCACCUGGAAUGAAUUCCUUUAGAACAUACUGUCUUGGAAAUCUGAAGCCUGCAGGGCUGGACAGGCAAGAAGAGCAGUGAGCACUGCAUGAACCUCACCCUUGAACUUCUAUAUGGUCUCCAAAGACAUGAUAAAUACAGAGAUUGCUCUCUCCUCUCAACUGCAACAGUAAUGAUUCCUUUGCAUUUUAAUUAAGUCUUUUACACAUGAAUAAGUCUUUAUCCUCAAAUGGACUAAAGACUCCUCGAGGACAAGAACUAUCCUUCAGUCCCAUACAUUGGUUACCUGGCAAAGGACCCUAAAUGCAGAUUAUGAAGUAGCUAUGGAAUUUGAAUGGGUUGAUUCUUCAGCUCCCAGAAAAAAACUUUGAUUGGUUUAACUGGCCACAGUAAUUGAUGUGGGAAUGAGGCCCUGACAUAAUUUCAACUUAGAAGACAUGUUCACUGGAAGUGAACUAGGAAGCAUGAAGUCUCAGACAUUCGACACUGAAAGAAUAAGCAGUCUUAGGAUGAAGGCAGUGCUAUGGACACCAGAACUCCAUGGUUCAGGCUGUUCAGCAUCAACUGUUCCUGACAGCCACCCUAACGUGCCUCCAGUUUCCUGGGCCAACAGAUGCCUGUCAUUGUUGAAGUUUCUUUGAGUUGGGUCUUCCGUUACUUACAAUUUAAAUCACCCUCACUGAUUACUAUGUACUUAAUUGUUCUCCUCCACUCUCUGCCAAUCCAUAUGCUGAAGCCUUAACCCCCAACGUGAUAGUAUUUGGAGACUGGAACUUUGGGAGAUAAUUAGAUUUAGAUGUGGUCAUGAGGAUGGGACCUUCAAGAUGAGAAUAGUAUCCUUAUAAAAAGUGGUACUAGAAAGCCUCUCUUUCUCUCUCUCUGCCACGUAAGAACACAGCAAGAAGGCAGCCAUCUGC